This 412-nucleotide long non-coding RNA is filed under the name Homo sapiens (human). RNAcentral describes it as "non-protein coding lnc-GOLGA8F-7:1". Lineage: Eukaryota; Metazoa; Chordata; Mammalia; Primates; Hominidae. The record is from RNAcentral.
CACGUGCCUGUAGUCCCAGCUACUUAGGAGGCUGAGGCAGGAGAAUCGCUUGAACCCAGGUGGCGGAGGUUGUAGUGAGCUGAGAUCGCGCCACUGCACUACAGCCUGGUGAGAGAGCGAGAAUCUGUCUCAAAAAAAAUAAAAAAGGGCAGUAGAUAAAAAAAGUACAAACAUGAGUAUCUUGAUAAAUUCUAUUCUCAGGCUUUCAGGUUCAUAAUCCUGUUGAUAGAUGACAUGUAGAAAUAGAAGAAUUUGUAAAUAUAGGAAUAUUCAUUGAUGUUUUUAGGACUGGAUUCUAAGGGUGGUUUUUACCUCUAAUAUCCAAAUACUGCUGCCUCAAGAGAACAAUUUUUGUUUUCAAAAUUCCAUGAUAAAAAAGAUGCAGUAACCCUGUAUGUGGCAUUUUGUCAGG